RNAcentral lists this non-coding RNA (82 nucleotides) under Gymnodinium catenatum. The record is from RNAcentral. Lineage: Eukaryota; Dinophyceae; Gymnodiniales; Gymnodiniaceae.
CUCAUGAUGAAAGGCCGGCCAAUUCUGCGCCAGCACGUUUGCAGGGCCCCGUGAGACAAAGUUUACUACGGUGACGGCUCAU